GGCCGACCUCCCAACCCUUUGUUUACAGAACCUCUGUUGCUUCGGCGGACCCGUCUCACGACCGCCGGAGGACCGCCGAGAGGCGUCCUCUGGUCAGUGUCCGUCGAUAGCCCAAACUGAAACCCUGAAUGAAUCGUGUCGUAUGUCUAAGUCUAAGAUUAAAUAAAGCAAAACUUUCAACAACGGAUCUCUUGGUUCUGGCAUCGAUGAAGAACGCAGCGAAAUGCGAUAAGUAAUGCGAAUUGCAGAAUUCCAGUGAGUCAUCGAAUCUUUGAACGCACAUUGCGCCCUUUGGUAUUCCGAAGGGCAUGCCUGUUCGAGCGUCAUUAUCACCCCUCAAGCCCUGUGCUUGGUGUUGGAUGGCCGGCCGCGCGAGUGACCCCUCCCAAAGACAAUGACGGCGGCCUGUGGUUCCCCCGGUACACUGAGCUUUUCACCGAGCACGUGUCGGAUAAGGGCGCCCGGGACACGGUCCUCUCCUCUCACGAGGAAAUUUUAUCAAGGCUGACCUCGGAUCAGGUAGGAAUACGCGCUGAACUUAAGCAUAUCAAUAAGCGGAG
RNAcentral lists this ribosomal RNA (560 nucleotides) under uncultured Herpotrichiellaceae. Its description in RNAcentral is "eukaryotic LSU rRNA". The stretch from base 172 to 326 matches the Rfam family "5.8S ribosomal RNA". Lineage: Eukaryota; Fungi; Ascomycota; Eurotiomycetes; Chaetothyriales; Herpotrichiellaceae. The record is from RNAcentral.